This 460-nucleotide ribosomal RNA is filed under the name uncultured bacterium. RNAcentral's name for it is "partial 16S ribosomal RNA". It matches the Rfam family "Bacterial small subunit ribosomal RNA", at positions 338 to 795 of the family's 1533-position model. The record is from RNAcentral.
CCUACGGGGUGCUGCAGUGAGGAAUAUUGGUCAAUGGACGAGAGUCUGAACCAGCCAAGUAGCGUGAAGGAUGACUGCCCUAUGGGUUGUAAACUUCUUUUAUAUGGGAAUAAAAUGUUCCACGUGUGGGAUUUUGUAUGUACCAUAUGAAUAAGGAUCGGCUAACUCCGUGCCAGCAGCCGCGGUAAUACGGAGGAUCCGAGCGUUAUCCGGAUUUAUUGGGUUUAAAGGGAGCGUAGGUGGAUUGUUAAGUCAGUUGUGAAAGUUUGCGGCUCAACCGUAAAAUUGCAGUUGAAAAUGGCAGUCUUGAGUACAGUAGAGGUGGGCGGAAUUCGUGGUGUAGCGGUGAAAUGCUUAGAUAUCACGAAGAACUCCGAUUGCGAAGGCAGUUCACUGGACUGCAACUGACACUGAGGCUCGAAAGUGUGGGUAUCAAACAGGAUUAGAUACCCUAGUAGUC